Molecule: long non-coding RNA, 654 nt
Organism: Cyprinus carpio carpio
Lineage: Eukaryota; Metazoa; Chordata; Actinopteri; Cypriniformes; Cyprinidae
Source: Ensembl
AAAAAGAGCUGACUGCAAAGAAUGUGCAGUUCAUGUGCACUGAUGUUAUAUGCAAGUACUGGCCAUACCUGCAGAGAAUUGUUAAAGAUUGUCCAGAGCUCUCUCCUCUCCUGGACAUGAAGCCUUUCCUGUCAGUGAUGCAUGCAAAGGCCCACUCUUGGAAAUGUGAGAUUAAAUGGGGUGGUCGAAACCAAGAAGGAGCAGGCACCACCCUGGGGGAAGAGGUCGAACAAGUUAACAGCUUUUUUGUCGAGAACUGCUAUAUGCAGUAAAUACAUGACCAAAGGAGGCAAAACAGACAUGAUUACAAUCCAGGCCAUGGCAUGGAAUCAGCGCAAAAUACGGAAACUUGCAAAAGCGCUGUCCCUAAGAUUUAAAAAGACAAAAGCAAAAAUUCAGGAGGAGUCCUUAAAUCUUGAUGCAAUAAAGACAGACUUGGCAGUAACACAUGACACGCUUAUAGAUUGGACCAAUGAAAUCCAGCAAUGGGCUGAUACAGCAACAAGUGAGGAGAACACAGACAGUCAGCAGGUGCUCCAGAAGACUAUUGAGACGCUUUAUGUGAGCAUCAGGCAGAGAAAGCAAGAUCUUUACCGUCAAUCAGAUGGGAACAAGAGAAGACACAAACUCCGAAGAAAGAUUUUGGAAGAAAAA